UUUUCCGUAUACAUAUAUACUUGCCGUUUUCCCAGAAAUUGAAAAUGCAUGAAAUUAUGAUUUAAAUGAAAAUGUAUAAAAGUAUAUGAGAUAUAUUAGUUGAAAUGCCAUGCAUAGAAGUAUGCGAAAAGUAUAUAGAAUUAUAUGAAAAACGUGAAUCGAAUUGCCAUGCAUGAAAGGAUAUGAAUUGAUAUAUGAUGCAUAUGUAUGAAUUGGUGCAGCGGACGCACAGGUGAGUAUCAGGUGAGUAUUUAAAUACUGUUAUGAUGAUGUUGAUGUAUAUUGAGCUCAAAUCCUGCACCAUGGUUUAGUGCUUAUAGUAUUCACCGCAUCGCACGCUCGCCUUGGAUCCAAGUAGAUGCUGGUCGCACAGUCCACGCGGAGUGGGUGCGACGGGCCAGUCGAAGAGUGUUAGUGAGAUUUCGACUGGUGGGUGACCUUAGAUUAUGUGCACAAAUGAUUGAUGAGAAAGCACUAGAGCGUAACUUGUGCGCAGAAGGCCGGACAGGUCACAGAGGUGACUCCGGCAGAGUGAGAGUGAUAGAUUUUGAGCUCUAGGUUCAACCGUGCAGGGCUAUUAGAGGGCCUCCGGUUGAUUACUUUCUUGCACCUGAUAUGAUUAUUGUUGAUGCAUCCAUACUUAACUGUUGAUUUUUAGACAUGGCAUGGCAUAACUGAUAUGAAAAAAUGUUGAAAAAGUGAAUUGAAGUUUUGAGAAUAUAUAUGUAUAUAUUUAUAUUUUACAUUUCUGGGAAAGUAUACAGGUUUUACGGAGAGGGGUUACAACGUUUUGAGAAAUGUUUGGAUUUGGAAAAGAAUUGUUUUACUGACCCACUCAAUUUUGGUUUUGCGCCCCUCCAGGUUCAGGAAUCACAAAGGUGUAGUGACUACGAGGAAUUCGACGGUGUUCUGACAGAUUGGACAAAAUUAGGACUCACCUUCGGGUGUAUCAACUUAUAAAUUGUAUCUUUAAAGCUUCCGUACUGUGCAAAUGGUUACGUCACUCUCCCGUGACGGCCAGCAUGCCCUCCUUCGGGACGGGGUGUGUCAGUUGGUAUCAGAGCAUGGUUGCAAUCUUGGACAUUUUGAGAAGUUCUAGUGAAUUCUGUCAGAACUACACCGCCUCGUAGCAAGCCACGUAGUUAGAGGAACUUAGUCUCCCUGAUUUAGCGGUUUAGGGGAAACUAUUACUAUGGUGAUUCAGUCUAUUGUCUAAAGGGACAUUUUAAGAUGGGUAAUGAGUUGAACUUGAAUCACUUAAGAGAAAUGAUGAACCUGAGGGAACGAAGUGACGGUUUAACCGUUUGGAAAAGAAGUUUCGGAUUAUGCAAGUCAAAGGAAAUUUCCUUCUGACAAGGGGUCGAGACGACUAUCUGGUUUUGGUUAUGAAUUUGUAUCCUGGUGGAAAUAGGAGUAUGAUUUGUUGUCACCGGAGGAACAAUCGAUUGAGAAUUGUUUAAGGACUUGUUUAAGGAAAAGUUUAUCCCUCCGGCAUUGAUCGAUGGUAGUAAACAAGAGUUUGCAAAUGUGAAUCAAGGAAGUUGACGACAAAUGAGUAUUAUAGAAAGUUUUCAGACUUGCCUCGUUCCAUCCAGAUAUUGUUGUUAAUUUGGUUGAGGUGUUAUGUUGUUUAUGCUGGAUAGUAAGAAAAAGCGGCGUUCUUUGAGUGACCACUAUCCAUUGUAUUUAUUACCAGGAAUAUACGAGAUGUUGUUGAGCCUUGAGGACUCUGAGAACAUGAUCAACGAGAGUAAAGAGGAAUAAGAAAAGAAUGGGAAUCAAAAGAAGACGAUAAAGUUAAUGAUUCGUCAUAUCAAGGAUAUAGAAAGAUUCAGAGCUUCGAAAGAAGUGAAGCUAGAGUUAAUUCUUCCAGCUGAGGUUUUAAUGUCACUGGUCAGAGUAAAAGUGAUGGAUAUACUGGUAAUCCCAGAUAUUUGAGACAAGGUGUCUCGAGUAAAGGAAAUGUACUUUGUGCAACAGGUACAAAAUUAACACUUUAUGAAGUGUGAAAUUAAUGACUGUGUUUAUGUGAACAGAGGGGACAUAGAAUUGUGAAUCGUCCCUAGAAUCAGUUGUACCCAACAGUUUUCUAUGACAUCGUAGUAUCGAUUCAGCAGGUUUAUGGACUUAGUAGUUUGGUCGGAUUGACCGUGGGUACAGAGAGAUUUGAUGAGUUAUAUGUUCAGCCGUACAGGCCACGAGAGGUGGAUCUGGCUGACGCAUGAGAAAUUGGUGAGUUAUAGGCUCGGCCGUACCGACCACGCGGAGUGGAUCCGGCCGACGUAUUAUUGAGAUAAGAGUUGAAUCAGCCGUAUUGGUCAUUCUAGUUGACUCCGGCUGAUAUAUAUAUAUUUUUAUUAUUAUGAUUGAUAUUGCCUAGAAAGUAGUAAAUAAACGCGGUUGAGACGAGUGUAUGUAUUUUGCAUUGAGUGACAAAAUAGUAUUAUUAUAUCUUCGAGAGUUGUUGCUUACUUAUCGAGACAACGAUGAUUUAUCAGUAUUGCGGGCUGCAGACCGUAAUAUUAAUAACUCAUUCGUGGAUUCGUUAAGCAAGCAACCCGGUAGAUUAUUUUAUGUUAGUAUUGUACUUAUUCAGAAUGCUUAGUAGUAAUAGAGUAUGAAUUGUGUCGGUUAAAUUAUUUCCAUUAGAUUGGUUGGUUAUAAUUGUGACUAGAUGGAUUGUUACGGGAAACCAGUCAUUUUCCAUCGAUCUGGAUGAUCAGAGGUUACCUUAAUGAGUGGGCAUGCAAAGUGAAGUGAGUUCAGCCAUUAUUUAUGCUGUGAAAGCAAAGAGAUUGUUUUGAAAGGCUGCCCAAAAAUACUUAGCUCAUGUGGUGCUAAAUGAUAUUGUUUGGAGUAGUGUGAAUAAUGUCGAAAGGGUUAGACUUUUCUUGAUGUCUUCCCUGAAAGUAUAUCUGGAUUGUCUUCAGGCAGAGAUAUGAGGUUCAUUAUUGAAUUGUUGCCAGGUAUAAAUUUAUGUUAAAGAUUGGUUCAUGAUGAGUUAAGGGAAUUGGAAAUUCAGUUGAGAGAAUUGGUUGAUAAAAGUUUUAUUCAACCUAGUACAACACUGUUGAGGAGCCCCAAUUUGUUGGUGAGGAAGAAAAUGGAUUUUGAGACUGUUCAUUGAUUAUAGACAAUGGAGUCGGGUAACGAUUGAGAACCGUUAUCCAUGGUGAUGUACUGAUGUUUAUUUAACCAGCUCAGAAGUAAUUGCGAAGAUUCAAAGAUUGAAUUGAGAUCUGGUUACUACCAAUUGAAUAUUAUAAGUGACGUUGAUCAUAAGAUGGUUUUCUGGACUUGUUAUGGUCCUUAUGAAGUUUGGUGUUGCUAUGUGGAUACUCAUGCUGUUUUAUGAGUUGAUGGAUGAAGUAUUCCAAUAAUGCCUUGAUAAAUUGAUAUCAUUUUCAUUGAAGAUAUUCUGGCAUAUUCUGAGCCAGAGCAGAGCAUGUAAACGUAUUAAGUCGAUGAAGCAAAGAUUGAGAGAACGUUGGUUGUAUGCUAAGUUUAGCAAAUGCGAAUGUUGGAUGAAUCAAGUGGCAUUCUGAGAUUGGUUAUAUCUGCUUAAGGUAUUCAAAUGAAUUCUUAAAAGGUAGCAGAAAUUGAGAAUUUGGAACAACCACGAGUCGUAAUUGAGAUUUGGAAUUUCUUAACUUACCAGGCUAUCUUGGAUGGUUGUGAAAGAUUUUUCAGUCAUUGCUUUGUCAUUGACGAGACUGUUGAGAAAAGAGGUUAUGUAUGAGUGGGAAGGAAAUUGUGAGCAAAGGAUUCAACAACUGAAGUAUUUCCUCACUCAUGCACGUAUUUUGGUAUUCCCAGAGAAUAGUGGUAAUCAUAAAUUUUAGUGAUGUUUCUUGAAUGGUAUUGGAGGCAUGUUGAUGCAAAUGUUAGGGUGAUUGCAUACGUUUCACGAUAAAUGGAACCUCAUGAGAUGAAUUACCCUACGGGUGACUUGGAAGUCAUGAUUACCAUUCUUGCUGUGAAGUUAUGAAGGCAUUAUAUUUUAGUGAGAAUGCAAGAUUUUUACGAAUCCAAAAAGUCUUCAAUAUCCAUUAAUUGGAAGGAUUUUGAUAUGAGGCAGCGAAGGUGAAUUGUAUUGCUUAAUGAACAUGAUUGUACGAUCAGGGUGAUCGUAAAGUUUGUUCUAGCUGAUACACUUGGUGAAAAGAUUGCAGUAAGAUUAAUGUCUGGCACGUUGCCAAGAGUAUCAUCUUGUGGAUUGAAAACCAACGGAAGAAAAAUUAAGAAUGGAAGAUCGAGAAUAAGUUAUACUUGUUAAUUUUCAAGUUAGGCCUGUUUGGUAAGGUCGUACUCGAGACUCAAAUGGUUAACGAAGAAAUUUAAGAAUUAACCAAGGCAGAGAAAGAAAGGAAAAAGAAUGAGUACAUGAUUCGUGAAUCAAAUGGUAUGUGGAUACAAGAAAACAAAAAGUAUGUGCCUAAUGCUAAGGAUUUAAAGUAAGUAAUUUUGGACGAAGUACACUGUUCAGCUUCUGCAAUAUUCCGAAAGUAAUAAGGUUUAUCAUACCAUUCGACAGUUUUAUUUGGUCAGCAGAUUGAGGCAAAAAGAGAUAAACCUUUGGAUUGAGAUAACUAUUUUCUGUUUCGCAGCGGAAAUGGAAAAAGAUUACUUUGGAUUAUGUGUACAAGCUUCCUUGUACACAAGAUGGUUAUGGUCGAAUUUAAAGUAAGAGUUGGUUAACGUAACAAGUUAGUACAUUUACUCCAGUGUUGAGUAACAACCUUUCCCAGAUAGUGUAACAGCACUUAAUUGUUUUAUGGAUAGGAGAAUUGGUUUACGGAACUGCUGAGUUUCUUAAGUAUGUUGGUUAUGCAGUUUCCGAAAUAACGCCAUAAGGUCCAUGAAAUGUGUCAUGUGUGUCGAUUUUUGUGGAUUUGUGAAUGGAAUGCUUCUGAAUAGAGAAAGAUUCGAUCAAGAAAGAGUUUUAGUAGACCCUGAGACUAUGGAUGAGUCUCCUCAAAGUAUUCAGGUGAUUAAGUUAACCUGAAGUAACCAGGAAUGGCAAAAGAGAUCAACAGAUGGAUAUGCCACUAAUCGAGUGUGUAAGGUAAAUGGUUUGAUAUUUUUGGAAUUUCACCAUGAACAGAAAUAGUAAGAUUCAGAAAGGAAGAUAAGAUAAGACUUAAACACAACGGUCCGUUUUGAUCACUAAGGGAAUCGACGAAGUUGCAUACAAGUUUGUGAUGCCUUCAGAAUUGGCUAAGGCACAUAAUGUAUUUUGGGUUCGAUACGUUGUCACUAGGUGGCAGAUUCGUCACAUGAGAUUCUGGUGCAACUAUUGAGAAUUAAAUUGGAUUCGACUUGAUAAGGAACCAAGGACGACUUUGGAUUGGAAAAAGAAGGUCCUGAAAAGUAAGACAGAGUAAGUGGUAAAAGCUUUGUGAAGGAAAUCAUUCAGUAGAAAAUUAUGUUGGAGAAAGAGAAUCGGAUGAGAGAGAUUUACCCGAAGCGAUUGUUGGAGUAUGGUUGAUUUAGUUGGUUGCUGGAAUUUCGGGGACGAAAUUCUAUAAGGAGGGGAGAUUGUCACACAGCCCGUUCCAAAAUAUUACAUUCGUGGCUGUGAAUGGACGAAAUUGCCCUUAAGAAAUACUAAGUAUGUGAAGCUCAAGUUGUUAAUUAUCUAGGUUCCUAAGUUUUGAAAAUAAAAUGGAAUUUAUUAAGGAUGGAACUUAGAUUUUUAGGUUAAAAUUUUGUGGUUUGGAGUUGGGGAUUGGAAAAGGACCACGAGGGAUCCCCACAUCCCUCAAUCCUCUCCCUAUUUUCUGCAUACUGUCUCUCUCUCUUCCCUCACGACUCUCUCACUCUCUCUGUCACUUUUCUUCUCCGUUCGAACAAACCAACCACAAAACAACCCUAAACUUCUACCAACGACGGAGUUAAGACCACCAUCAAACUCCUGGAACCUCCACGAUCACGAUGGUAUCCAUUUCAGGUAAGUUUUGCUUCGGAAAAACCCUAGUUUCAAAGUUCCCGUGAAGAGCACUGUUCAUGAUCUUCGAAUUGACUUUGUUUUAGGUGAAACCAAGCUCACAGUGAGCUUAAGGAAGUCCCAAGGAAGCUCGGAGUGCUUCGUUGGCAUGGAUUGGACGUCGGGAUCACGAGUUGUAAGUUUGGCCGAUUUCUUGAAUUUUUGAAAAGUUUGAUCUCGUAGUUUUUAGGCCCUAAAACUAGUCCAACGUGAAAGUAGAUGUUUAGGGCUUCAAAUGGGUGUAAAAUUCGAGAAAUUUGGAUGAAAAACGAAGGAGAAUAGUGGAUUUGAAAUAUUCCCCAGUUUCCGGUGACCGGAGUCCGGCGAGGGACGACCGGAGAAGAAGAAGGAAUAAUCCGUUAUAUUUAACGGAAUAUUCCUAACGGCAGUAACGGAAAAAGGUUAAGUUUAACGGAAUAUUCCGGGAUUUUAACGGAAUAUUCCUGACGGCGUCAAUUGACACCGUCAGUGUGCUUGGCACGUGGCCGCGCGUGGGGGCGCGUAGGUCCGUGCCACGUCAGGCGCGUGGGGGCGCGUGAGACCUCCAAAAAUUAUUUUAAAAAUAUGGGGAUGAUCCUGAGGUUGUGUAGGUCACGUUGGUAUAUUCAUAUACCCAAUUUGAGCAAUAUAUGAGGAGUUAUUAACUAAGAUUUGGGUUAGGCGUUAAAUAACGUCAAAUUGGUUACUCUUGUAUAGGUGAGGUUUAUGCGGGCAUCGGGCAUGGCCAAGGGAUGCUCAGGGACUUACGAGACGUCGAUGUAUUCUGUGAGUGGGCAGUUUUGUUUUCCGUAUACAUAUAUACUUGCCGUUUUCCUAGAAAUUGAAAAUGCAUGAAAUUAUGAUUUAAAUGAAAAUGUAUAAAAGUAUAUGAGAUAUAUUAGUUGAAAUGCCAUGCAUAGAAGUAUGCGAAAAGUAUAUAGAAUUAUAUGAAAAACGUGAAUCGAAUUGCCAUGCAUGAAAGGAUAUGAAUUGAUAUAUGAUGCAUAUGUAUGAAUUGGUGCAGCGGACGCACAGGUGAGUAUCAGGUGAGUAUUUAAAUACUGUUAUGAUGAUGUUGAUGUAUAUUGAGCUCAAAUCCUGCACCAUGGUUUAGUGCUUAUAGUAUUCACCGCAUCGCACGCUCGCCUUGGAUCCAAGUAGAUGCUGGUCGCACAGUCCACGCGGAGUGGGUGCGACGGGCCAGUCGAAGAGUGUUAGUGAGAUUUCGACUGGUGGGUGACCUUAGAUUAUGUGCACAAAUGAUUGAUGAGAAAGCACUAGAGCGUAACUUGUGCGCAGAAGGCCGGACAGG
RNAcentral lists this long non-coding RNA (7277 nucleotides) under Malus domestica (apple). RNAcentral describes it as "long non-coding RNA (MDOM_LNC005808)". Lineage: Eukaryota; Viridiplantae; Streptophyta; Magnoliopsida; Rosales; Rosaceae. The record is from RNAcentral.